AGCAGGAAAGGCAGGGGAGGCAGCGGCGGGAAGCCUUCCUUAGCUGUGUGAUCCUAGAUGGCUGGUAACUUAGCAUUUGAGGACUGUCUCAGAUAGACACAAUUGGACCAGAUUUUGUACCAUAGAAAAAAAGGCUUUACCCACUCAAACAUCCACUGUUUUCAGCAGACAAGAGUCCUAAGUGGAUGCCUGAUUGGCUGAUCCUAGGCCAUGUGCCUGCUCACUGGAUGUACUGAGGCCAUGAGAAGAAGGAUCUGGCAAAACAAACCUCAGGGACCUCAUCAAGAAGGCAGAGGACCUGGACUAACCAUGGCAUCCAAACUGAACACAAUUUUAGAGACCUGGCCAACAGGGUGAAACCCUGUCGCUACUAAUAAUACAAAAAUUAGCCAGACAUAGUGGUGCAUGACUGUAAUCCCAGCUACUUAGGAGGCUGAGGCAGGAGAAUCGCUUGAACCUGGGAGGCAGAGGUUGCAGUGAGCUGGGAUCGCACCAUUGCACUCCAGCCUGGGCAACACGAGCAAAACUCUGUCUCAAAA
RNAcentral lists this long non-coding RNA (539 nucleotides) under Pan troglodytes (chimpanzee). RNAcentral describes it as "lincRNA". Lineage: Eukaryota; Metazoa; Chordata; Mammalia; Primates; Hominidae. The record is from RNAcentral.